GGCUUUCUGAAUAUCCUGCAGACUGACACCGCAUCAGUUCUUCAGGAGGCUUCUCUUUAUAUCAAGCUUCUUCAAGCACAAAUCCGGACUUUGUUUCAGAUGCUGAGCUUCACUUACUUUAGCACGAUUAAUGAUCCCCAUACUCAGCUGGUGUCACGUCAGGAAUGUGCGGACAAAUUGGAGGUUGACCUAAGGAGCAGAGGACUUUGUUUGGUUCCCAUAUCAAUCACAGACAAAAUAACAAAGGUAGACCAGAUUCAUCAUGCUUCGGCCUCAAUAAAUACUUAGAGGCAUAGUUCCUUUAUAAGCAUGGUAAAUUAGUUGGCGCAUACUAUAUCAAUUUGAACAUUUGCUAAGAUAUUGAUUGCAUAUUUAGGAACAUGUUUGGGACCAUAGUUCUUUUAACAUUUCUCACAAGAAAACAAUGGAUUGCAUAUCUUCGAUUUACAUCAAUUUUAACAAGUAAUGAGCCAGUUAAACGCGGAUGUUUGUCUUCAGGACAUGGGGCAUGAAAAACAAAACCAAAUCCACGUAUGACUUUAUUUUGUAA
This is a long non-coding RNA of Glycine soja, 550 nucleotides long. RefSeq lists it as uncharacterized. The transcript has 3 exons. Lineage: Eukaryota; Viridiplantae; Streptophyta; Magnoliopsida; Fabales; Fabaceae. The record is from RefSeq and is a predicted model, not a curated record.